UUCAAAAUCUCUCCUCUUCUCACACGCACAUCACCUUCCCCUAAACCUAAAACUCACCCUUUCCUUUCCUAAAAUCAAAACCCAAAACUCAGAUUCUCCCAUCGUCGCCGCCGCCGCCACUGCAUCUUUUGGUUUUCCUGUAUUAUGCAACUCAUUCUCUACCUGUUAUUGUUUUUAAUUGAAAAUCAAACUCCAUACCCAGUGCCCAGGGAAUGAUGAUAAUGCCAAUUAUUCACUCCCACCGCCAAGUAAAACCUAGCAGAGGGUGUGGUUUCCUUCAAAGAGAAGUGCUCCUUUGUCGUCUGUUGGACAAGUUACGCAUUAUGUGAAAAUAUGUUGAAGAAGUUAAUGGUGGUCAUUGCAAUGGAAUGAUUUGGGAGAGUUGCAGACUAUGGCCUGGACUUCAGGAGGUUCACUCUUUAUUUCUCAAGGGAGUAAUUGAAUUCAUGUUUGAGUAAAGCAAAUGACACAGAAAUUUUUACUGCAAUGCGUGGAGAAUUUGGCAACCAAAAAUCAACAAUGGACUGAAAUUACAGAGCAUCCACUAUGGUCCAUGGAGCAUCUCACUGUGGGCAUAAGAAUACUUGAUUGAGUACACUAGAUUAAGAAACAUUGCAAAUUAAUUUAUGCUUUUUUUUUUUUUUGGUUUAGUUUCAGUGAAAGCCAAUAAAAUACAGAGUAAUUGGGUGUGAUGUAGAUGUAGGGAAAUCAUAUUGACGGUAAAGUUGUGUUAUUUUCUAUUUAUUUUGUUACAAUUUUAAUUA
Molecule: long non-coding RNA, 764 nt
Organism: Quercus robur (English oak)
Lineage: Eukaryota; Viridiplantae; Streptophyta; Magnoliopsida; Fagales; Fagaceae
Exons: 4
Source: RefSeq, a predicted model, not a curated record